This 69-nucleotide transfer RNA is filed under the name Plutella xylostella (diamondback moth). RNAcentral describes it as "tRNA-Ser". Lineage: Eukaryota; Metazoa; Arthropoda; Insecta; Lepidoptera; Plutellidae. The record is from RNAcentral.
GAAUGGCGUAGUGGUUAGUGACCCUGACUACUGAGCCUUAGGUCCCGGGUUCGAUUCCCGGCUGGAGCA